RNAcentral lists this long non-coding RNA (199 nucleotides) under Physcomitrium patens. RNAcentral describes it as "long non-coding RNA (PPAT_LNC004248)". Lineage: Eukaryota; Viridiplantae; Streptophyta; Bryopsida; Funariales; Funariaceae. The record is from RNAcentral.
AUCUUAAAUAAAUCUCAAUCAAGUCCUAAUUUAAUCCUAAUUAAAAUCCUAAUGGUCUUCAAUCAAACUCUAGGCCAAGUUAUAAAUCCUAAACAAAUCCUAAAUCCUAAAUUUUAAGCAAAUCCUAAAUCUUAAGCAAACCCUAAAUCCUAAAUCCUAAGAAAAUCCUAAACCAAAUCCUAAAUCCUAAUCCAAUCUU